RNAcentral lists this ribosomal RNA (372 nucleotides) under uncultured Glomeromycotina. Its description in RNAcentral is "LSU rRNA". Lineage: Eukaryota; Fungi; Glomeromycota. The record is from RNAcentral.
UUGAAAGGGAAACGAUUGAAGUCAGUCGUACCUGUGGGUAAUCAGCCUUUUGGGUGUGAUUUUGUGGAGUGUGAGGAGUUAAACGCCUUCAUGCCUGCAUAUUCGUGCACUUUGGGUGUAUUUACCCGUGUGGUAAGUUAACAUCAAUUUCGGUGGUCAUAAAAUGGCUGGAGGAAUGUAGCUUCGAUCUUGUAUUGAAGUGUUAUAGCCUUCGGUAGAUGUGAUGAUCGGGAUUGAGGAUUGCAACGGAUACCUUCGGGGCUACCUGUCUGAUCUCUGAUCGUUGCUCUGGUGCCGAAAGCUUGCUUACGGUUAUCAAAGUCGAUGGUCAAUAGGUUAGAACGGGUUAAAUUCGUUAAGGAUGUUGACGUA